UUUUAGCCCUGAUAGCAGUGGAAAUCCUUUUGUUUUUUUCUUUAAAAAAUAAAAGAUUGCAACGGAUAGCAGGAAUAGCU
This 80-nucleotide small RNA is filed under the name Flavobacterium swingsii. RNAcentral's name for it is "Flavo-1 RNA". It matches the Rfam family "Flavo-1 RNA". Lineage: Bacteria; Pseudomonadati; Bacteroidota; Flavobacteriia; Flavobacteriales; Flavobacteriaceae. The record is from RNAcentral.